UUUGAUAAGAUGACAUAGGAGA
Molecule: microRNA, 22 nt
Filed under: Mus musculus (house mouse)
Lineage: Eukaryota; Metazoa; Chordata; Mammalia; Rodentia; Muridae
Description: Mmu-Mir-599_5p (mature (guide))
Source: RNAcentral